GGGGUUGUGGCUCAGUGGUAGAGGGCUUACCUAACAUGUAUGAGGCACUGGGUUCAAUUCUCAGCACCGCA
Molecule: transfer RNA, 71 nt
Filed under: Marmota monax (woodchuck)
Lineage: Eukaryota; Metazoa; Chordata; Mammalia; Rodentia; Sciuridae
Description: tRNA.Val
Rfam family: tRNA
About the family: Transfer RNA (tRNA) molecules are approximately 80 nucleotides in length. Their secondary structure includes four short double-helical elements and three loops (D, anti-codon, and T loops).
Source: RNAcentral